AGAAUCAACGCUGGCGGCGUGCCUAACACAUGCAAGUCGAACGAGAAAGUGGAGCAAUCCACGAGUAAAGUGGCGCACGGGUGAGUAACACGUGACUAACCUACCCUUGAGUGGGGGAUAACCUAGGGAAACCUGGGCUAAUACCGCAUAAUACCUACGGGUCAAAGGAGCAAUUCGCUUAAGCGAGGGGGUCGCGGCGAUUAGUUAGUUGGCGGGGUAAUGGCCCACAAGACGAUGAUCGGUAU
Molecule: ribosomal RNA, 245 nt
Filed under: uncultured bacterium
Lineage: Bacteria
Description: partial small subunit ribosomal RNA
Rfam family: Bacterial small subunit ribosomal RNA
Source: RNAcentral